This 74-nucleotide transfer RNA is filed under the name Podarcis lilfordi (Lilford's wall lizard). RNAcentral's name for it is "tRNA.Ala". The record is from RNAcentral. Lineage: Eukaryota; Metazoa; Chordata; Lepidosauria; Squamata; Lacertidae.
GGAAGACUGUAGCUCAGUGGGAGAACAUGUGCUUGGCAUGCAGAAGGUCCCAGGUUCAAGCUCUGGCAUCUCCA